CAGCUUAGAAUCAUUCCUGACAUCUUGUGGUUGAGAAACGUGGAGGUCACAGGUAACAAGAAGACACGUAACUGGGACAUUCAACCAUCACGUCGUCUUCAUGUGUGGCCCUUCGCUAAUUCAACAGCACCCAAAUAGGUGGGCCCCCCCACCCGUGAAAGGGGAUGCUCUCCCCGGUAACGUUACCCGGUUUAGCUGCGUCAGUUAUGCUAGCACAGACUAAGCGGCAUCAAGCUAGCGCUCGAGGCGCUAACGGCUCCUCUUUCUGCCGGAGAACCGUCGCGCGUUCACCGGCGCAGCGGGACACCAUUACCUCUGGGAGCGGACCCGGUGCCUGCUGUUUGUCGCCCUUGGAACGCGCAGCCCUCUUCAGCAUCCCCUUAUUGCCCGUUUCGCCGGAUUCCGCAUGCGGAUGUUGCAACUCAUUCGAGUCGGAUUGGUGGGGAUGUGCCUUGUUCCGUUACCCCGGAGUAAACUGCGGCAGAGAGAUUACAGCGGCUUCAUUUUUUUUUUUUUUUAAAGAAGACCUGUUUCCAUCCUUCCUGCUAAGCAGUGGGAGGUCGCCUCAUCUUGCUUUGAGCAGUGGCGACACCGUGCGGUCAAUAACAGGAACUACAAACACCUUCUCUGGCGGGGGGGUGGGGGGUGGAAGGCAUUGUUCAUUCAUUAUUUACAAUACUAAUGGUCUUACAUAUGUGAUAAGGGGCUGAACAGUAGUGUUACGGUUGCAGAGCUCAUCUUCAUGACUCACUUUCACGCUUUCACACACGUUGCUGCAGCCUAAAGGGUCGGUAAUGUUUUACACAUUAGCACAAUUGUUUUUCAAGUUAAUACAAAUUGAACAUCCGGGGGCAUCUUGGUUGCCGAGGGUUUUAAGAUGCUGAUUAUGUUGCCCUAACAUUCCCCAUGGAGUGUAUCCUACAAUCUUUUCUAAUGAUGGCCUUUCUCUUACCAUCCCUUAUUUUCUGUCAGCCAUCAUCUGUAAAUUGUCUAUUAAAGACAUGAAAUGUACAUUAAAUAUUAAGAAAGAAAUCAUUCUGACGAUGAA
Gasterosteus aculeatus aculeatus (three-spined stickleback) is the source of this 1048-nucleotide non-coding RNA. Lineage: Eukaryota; Metazoa; Chordata; Actinopteri; Perciformes; Gasterosteidae. The record is from RefSeq and is a predicted model, not a curated record.